CCUACGGGAGGCAGCAGUGGGGGAUAUUGCACAAUGGGGGGAACCCUGAUGCAGCGACGCCGCGUGGGUGAAGGAGUGCUUCGGCAUGUAAAGCCCUAUCGGCAGGGAAGAAGCAAGACGGUACCUGACUAAGAAGCCCCGGCUAACUACGUGCCAGCAGCCGCGGUAAUACGUAGGGGGCGAGCGUUAUCCGGAUUCACUGGGUGUAAAGGGAGCGUAGACGGCCAUGCAAGCCAGGGGUGAAAGCCCGGGGCCCAACCCCGGGACUGCCCUUGGAACUGCAUGGCUGGAGUGCGGGAGGGGCAGGCGGAAUUCCUGGUGUAGCGGUGAAAUGCGUAGAUAUCAGGAGGAACACCGGCGGCGAAGGCGGCCUGCUGGACCGCGACUGACGUUGAGGCUCGAAAGCGUGGGGAGCGAACAGGAUUAGAUACCCCGGUAG
RNAcentral lists this ribosomal RNA (439 nucleotides) under uncultured bacterium. RNAcentral describes it as "bacterial SSU rRNA". It matches the Rfam family "Bacterial small subunit ribosomal RNA", at positions 338 to 793 of the family's 1533-position model. The record is from RNAcentral.